GUCUUUACUUUGAAAAAUCAGAGUGUUCAAGCAGGCAGUCGCUCUUGCAUGGAUUAGCAUGGGAUAAUGAAAUAGGACUCUGGUGCUAUUUGUUGGUUUCGAACACCGGGAGUAAUGAUUAACAGGGACAGUCAGGGGCACUCGUAUUCCGCCGAGAGAGGUGAAAUUCUCAGACCAGCGGAAGACGAACCACUGCGAAAGCAUUUGCCAGGGAUGUUUUCACUGAUCAAGAACGAAAGUUAGGGGAUCGAAGACGAUCAGAUACCGUCGUAGUCUUAACCAUAAACCAUGCCGACUAGGGAUUGGAGGAUGUUCCAUUUGUGACUCCUUCAGCACCUUUCGGGAAACUAAAGUCUUUGGGUUCCGGGGGGAGUAUGGUCGCAAGGCUGAAACUUAAAGGAAUUGACGGAAGGGCACCACCAGGAGUGGAGCCUGCGGCUUAAUUUGACUCAACACGGGGAAACUUACCAGGUCCAGACAUUGUGAGGAUUGACAGAUUGAGAGCUCUUUCUUGAUUCGAUGGGUGGUGGUGCAUGGCCGUUCUUAGUUGGUGGAGUGAUUUGUCUGGUUAAUUCCGUUAACGAACGAGACCGCAGCCUGCUAAAUAGCGACGCGAACCCUCCGUUCGCUGGAGCUUCUUAGAGGGACAACUUGUCUUCAACAAGUGGAAGUUCGCGGCAAUAACAGGUCUGUGAUGCCCUUAGAUGUCCUGGGCCGCACGCGCGCUACACUGAUGCACUCAACGAGUCUAUCACCUUGACCGAGAGGUCCGGGUAAUCUUUUGAAAUUGCAUCGUGAUGGGGAUAGAUUAUUGCAACUAUUAAUCUUCAACGAGGAAUUCCUAGUAAGCGUGUGUCAUCAGCGCACGUUGAUUACGUCCCUGCCCUUUGUACACACCGCCCGUCGCUCCUACCGAUUGAAUGAUCCGGUGAGGCCCCCGGACUGCGGCGCCGCAGCUGGUUCUCCAGCCGCGACGCCGCGGGAAGCUGUCCGAACCUAUCAUAGAGA
Molecule: ribosomal RNA, 1008 nt
Filed under: Haptophyta environmental samples
Lineage: Eukaryota; Haptophyta
Description: SSU rRNA
Rfam family: Eukaryotic small subunit ribosomal RNA
Source: RNAcentral